This 305-nucleotide ribosomal RNA is filed under the name uncultured bacterium. RNAcentral's name for it is "bacterial SSU rRNA". It matches the Rfam family "Bacterial small subunit ribosomal RNA", at positions 335 to 657 of the family's 1533-position model. The record is from RNAcentral.
CUGCCUACGGGGGGCAGCAGUGGGGGAUAUUGCACAAUGGGGGGAACCCUGAUGCAGCGACGCCGCGUGGGCGAUGGAGUGCUUCGGCAUGUAAAGCCCUAUCAGCAGGGAAGAAAAUGACGGUACCUGACUAAGAAGCCCCGGCUAAAUACGUGCCAGCAGCCGCGGUAAUACGUAUGGGGCAAGCGUUAUCCGGAUUUACUGGGUGUAAAGGGAGCGUAGGCGGCCUGGCAAGCCUGAUGUGAAAUACCGGGGCCCAACCCCGGGGCUGCAUUGGAAACUGUGGAGCUAGAGUGCUGGAGAGG